GAAAAUGGUUGUGUGGCGCGGUAAGCAUCCUGCCCGUCCUUGGGGGUUAUCCCGGCCGCGGCUGGGGUCGACUCGCCCGGGCCCCCAUGGUCGGCUGGGUUUCAUUGGGUGUACAUUCAUGGGUUGAGGAGGGGCUUGCGUCUGAUUAGCUAGUUGGCAGGGUAACGGACUACCAAGGCGAUGAUCAGUAGGGGUUCUGAGAGGAUUGGCCCCCACAUGGGUACUGAGAUACGGACCCAACUCCUACGGGAGGCAGCGGUAGGGAAUAUUGGGCAAUGGAGGCAACUCUGACCCAGCCAUGCCGCGUGCCGGAUGAAGGCGCUCAGCGUUGUAAACGGCUUUUACUCAUGAAGAACUGUGGGGAUGCGUCCUUACUUGACGGUAAUGAGGGAAUAAGCACCGGCUAUCUCCGUGCCAGCAGCCGCGGUAAU
This 431-nucleotide ribosomal RNA is filed under the name uncultured bacterium. Its description in RNAcentral is "bacterial SSU rRNA". It matches the Rfam family "Bacterial small subunit ribosomal RNA", at positions 98 to 524 of the family's 1533-position model. The record is from RNAcentral.